AGAGUUUGAUCCUGGCUUAGGAUGAACGCUAGCUACAGGCUUAACACAUGCAAGUCGCGGGGCAGCAUGAAGUUUGCUUGCAAACUUGAUGGCGACCGGCGCACGGGUGAGUAACGCGUAUCCAACCUUCCCCUUAGUAGGGCAUAGCCCGGCGAAAGUCGGAUUAAUACCCUAUGUUCUUCGUAGAUGACAUCUGAAAUGAAGCAAAGGUUUACCGCUAAGGGAUGGGGAUGCGUCUGAUUAGGUAGUCGGCGGGGUAACGGCCCACCGAGCCUGCGAUCAGUAGGGGUUCUGAGAGGAAGGUCCCCCACACUGGUACUGAGACACGGACCAGACUCCUACGGGAGGCAGCAGUGAGGAAUAUUGGUCAAUGGGCGUAAGCCUGAACCAGCCAAGUAGCCGUGCAGGAAGACUGCCCUAUGGGUUGUAAACUGCUUUUAUGCGGGGAUAAAGUGAGGGACGUGUCCCUUUUUGCAGGUACCGCAUGAAUAAGGACCGGCUAAUUCCGUGCCAGCCGCCGC
This 521-nucleotide ribosomal RNA is filed under the name uncultured bacterium. RNAcentral's name for it is "bacterial SSU rRNA". It matches the Rfam family "Bacterial small subunit ribosomal RNA", at positions 8 to 518 of the family's 1533-position model. The record is from RNAcentral.